CCUAAUAACCCAUUAUUUGAGCUCAAACAGCAUGCGUUAGAAGUAAUUUUAAAGCAUGAAGCCUGUUUAAAUGGAGCUAGAUUUCUAAGGACAAUGUAAUGUGAAUUCAUGUAAGCAAUUAUUGUUUGUAGAAAA
Non-coding RNA from Lentinula edodes (shiitake mushroom), 135 nucleotides. The record is from Rfam. Lineage: Eukaryota; Fungi; Basidiomycota; Agaricomycetes; Agaricales; Omphalotaceae.